UUAAAUUGAAGAGUUUGAUCAUGGCUCAGAUUGAACGCUGGCGGCAGGCCUAACACAUGCAAGUCGAACGGUAACAGGAAACAGCUUGCUGUUUCGCUGACGAGUGGCGGACGGGUGAGUAAUGUCUGGGAAACUGCCUGAUGGAGGGGGAUAACUACUGGAAACGGUAGCUAAUACCGCAUAACGUCGCAAGACCAAAGAGGGGACCCUCGGGCCUCUUGCCAUCGGAUGUGCCCAGAUGGGAUUAGCUUGUUGGUGGGGUAACGGCUCACCAAGGCGACGAUCCCUAGCUGGUCUGAGAGGAUGACCAGCCACACUGGAACUGAGACACGGUCCAGACUCCUACGGGAGGCAGCAGUGGGGAAUAUUGCACAAUGGGCGCAAGCCUGAUGCAGCCAUGCCGCGUGUAUGAAGAAGGCCUUCGGGUUGUAAAGUACUUUCAGCGGGGAGGAAGGGAGUAAAGUUAAUACCUUUGCUCAUUGACGUUACCCGCAGAAGAAGCACCGGCUAACUCCGUGCCAGCAGCCGCGGUAAUACGGAGGGUGCAAGCGUUAAUCGGAAUUACUGGGCGUAAAGCGCACGCAGGCGGUUUGUUAAGUCAGAUGUGAAAUCCCCGGGCUCAACCUGGGAACUGCAUCUGAUACUGGCAAGCUUGAGUCUCGUAGAGGGGGUAGAAUUCCAGGUGUAGCGGUGAAAUGCGUAGAGAUCUGGAGGAAUACCGGUGGCGAAGGCGGCCCCCUGGACGAAGACUGACGCUCAGGUGCGAAAGCGUGGGGAGCAAACAGGAUUAGAUACCCUGGUAGUCCACGCCGUAAACGAUGUCGACUUGGAGGUUGUGCCCUUGAGGCGUGGCUUCCGGAGCUAACGCGUUAAGUCGACCGCCUGGGGAGUACGGCCGCAAGGUUAAAACUCAAAUGAAUUGACGGGGGCCCGCACAAGCGGUGGAGCAUGUGGUUUAAUUCGAUGCAACGCGAAGAACCUUACCUGGUCUUGACAUCCACGGAAGUUUUCAGAGAUGAGAAUGUGCCUUCGGGAACCGUGAGACAGGUGCUGCAUGGCUGUCGUCAGCUCGUGUUGUGAAAUGUUGGGUUAAGUCCCGCAACGAGCGCAACCCUUAUCCUUUGUUGCCAGCGGUCCGGCCGGGAACUCAAAGGAGACUGCCAGUGAUAAACUGGAGGAAGGUGGGGAUGACGUCAAGUCAUCAUGGCCCUUACGACCAGGGCUACACACGUGCUACAAUGGCGCAUACAAAGAGAAGCGACCUCGCGAGAGCAAGCGGACCUCAUAAAGUGCGUCGUAGUCCGGAUUGGAGUCUGCAACUCGACUCCAUGAAGUCGGAAUCGCUAGUAAUCGUGGAUCAGAAUGCUACGGUGAAUACGUUCCCGGGCCUUGUACACACCGCCCGUCACACCAUGGGAGUGGGUUGCAAAAGAAGUAGGUAGCUUAACCUUCGGGAGGGCGCUUACCACUUUGUGAUUCAUGACUGGGGUGAAGUCGUAACAAGGUAACCGUAGGGGAACCUGCGGUUGGAUCACCUCCUUACCUUAAAGAAGC
Molecule: ribosomal RNA, 1554 nt
Filed under: Escherichia coli
Lineage: Bacteria; Pseudomonadati; Pseudomonadota; Gammaproteobacteria; Enterobacterales; Enterobacteriaceae
Description: bacterial SSU rRNA
Rfam family: Bacterial small subunit ribosomal RNA
Source: RNAcentral